GCCGGAGUGGCGGAAUUGGUAGACGCAAGGGACUUAAAAUCCCUCGGGGGCAACCCCGCACGGGUUCGAAUCCCGUCUCCGGCA
RNAcentral lists this transfer RNA (84 nucleotides) under Nitrospiraceae bacterium. RNAcentral's name for it is "tRNA-Leu". It matches the Rfam family "tRNA". Rfam says of the family: Transfer RNA (tRNA) molecules are approximately 80 nucleotides in length. Their secondary structure includes four short double-helical elements and three loops (D, anti-codon, and T loops). Further hydrogen bonds mediate the characteristic L-shaped molecular structure. tRNAs have two regions of fundamental functional importance: the anti-codon, which is responsible for specific mRNA codon recognition, and the 3' end, to which the tRNAs corresponding amino acid is attached (by aminoacyl-tRNA synthetases). tRNAs cope with the degeneracy of the genetic code in two manners: having more than one tRNA (with a specific anti-codon) for a particular amino acid; and 'wobble' base-pairing, i.e. permitting non-standard base-pairing at the 3rd anti-codon position. Lineage: Bacteria; Pseudomonadati; Nitrospirota; Nitrospiria; Nitrospirales; Nitrospiraceae. The record is from RNAcentral.